This 91-nucleotide transfer RNA is filed under the name Deinococcus budaensis. RNAcentral's name for it is "tRNA-Ser". It matches the Rfam family "tRNA". Rfam says of the family: Transfer RNA (tRNA) molecules are approximately 80 nucleotides in length. Their secondary structure includes four short double-helical elements and three loops (D, anti-codon, and T loops). Further hydrogen bonds mediate the characteristic L-shaped molecular structure. tRNAs have two regions of fundamental functional importance: the anti-codon, which is responsible for specific mRNA codon recognition, and the 3' end, to which the tRNAs corresponding amino acid is attached (by aminoacyl-tRNA synthetases). tRNAs cope with the degeneracy of the genetic code in two manners: having more than one tRNA (with a specific anti-codon) for a particular amino acid; and 'wobble' base-pairing, i.e. permitting non-standard base-pairing at the 3rd anti-codon position. Lineage: Bacteria; Thermotogati; Deinococcota; Deinococci; Deinococcales; Deinococcaceae. The record is from RNAcentral.
GGAGAGAUGGGUGAGCGGCUUAAACCAAGCGUUUGCUAAACGCUCGUAGGCCAAAAGCCUACCGCGAGUUCGAAUCUCGCUCUCUCCGCCA